Molecule: ribosomal RNA, 200 nt
Filed under: uncultured bacterium
Lineage: Bacteria
Description: partial 16S ribosomal RNA
Rfam family: Bacterial small subunit ribosomal RNA
Source: RNAcentral
AGCAAACGCUGGCGGCGUGCCUAAUACAUGCAAGUCGAACGAGGAAAGUAGCAAUACGAGUACUAGUGGCGCACGGGUGAGGAACGCGUGGGUAAUUUACCUUCGAGCGGGGGAUAACUAGUCGAAAGACUAGCUAAUACCGCAUAAGACCACAGGAUCUGCGGAUCUAGGGGUCAAAGCAGCAAUGCACUUGAAGAUAA